RNAcentral lists this ribosomal RNA (369 nucleotides) under uncultured organism. RNAcentral's name for it is "bacterial SSU rRNA". It matches the Rfam family "Bacterial small subunit ribosomal RNA", at positions 526 to 896 of the family's 1533-position model. The record is from RNAcentral.
CGUAGGCAGCGAGCGUUGUUCGGAGUUACUGGGCGUAAAGAGUGCGUAGGCGGUUGGCUAAGUUUGGUGUGAAAUCUCCCGGCUCAACUGGGAGGGUGCGCCGAAAACUGGCUGGCUGGAGUGUGGGAGAGGCUAGCGGAAUUCCUGGUGUAGCGGUGAAAUGCGUAGAUAUCAGGAGGAACACCUGCGGUGUAGACGGCUGGCUGGACCACUACUGACGCUGAGGCACGAAAGCGUGGGGAGCAAACAGGAUUAGAUACCCUGGUAGUCCACGCCCUAAACGAUGCAUACUUGGUGUGGGCAGUUCAUUCUGUCCGUGCCGGAGCUAACGCGUUAAGCAUGCCGCCUGGGGAGUCGGUCGCAAGGCUG